Molecule: ribosomal RNA, 468 nt
Filed under: uncultured bacterium
Lineage: Bacteria
Description: partial 16S ribosomal RNA
Rfam family: Bacterial small subunit ribosomal RNA
Source: RNAcentral
GACGAACGCUGGCGGCGUGCUUAACACAUGCAAGUCGAACGGAAAGGCCCUGCUUUUGUGGGGUGCUCGAGUGGCGAACGGGUGAGUAACACGUGAGUAACCUGCCCUUGACUUUGGGAUAACUUCAGGAAACUGGGGCUAAUACCGGAUAGGAGCUCCUGCUGCAUGGUGGGGGUGGGAAAGUUUCGGCGGUUGGGGAUGGACUCGCGGCUUAUCAGCUUGUUGGUGGGGUAGUGGCUUACCAAGGCUUUGACGGGUAGCCGGCCUGAGAGGGUGACCGGCCACAUUGGGACUGAGGUACGGGCAAGACUGCUACGGGAGGCAGCAGUGGGGAAUAUUGCACAAUGGGCGGAAGCCUGAUGCAGCAACGCCGCGUGCGGGAUGACGGCCUGCGGGUUGUAAACCGCUUUCGCCUGUGACGAAGCGUGAGUGACGGUAAUGGGUAAAGAAGCACCGGCUAACUACGUG